UCUCUUUCUUAUCGAAUAGAAGUGUAUACAAAAUUCACAUCGUGUCCUGUGAAUAUCGACUCAGUUCACAACCAUCUCUGGCAGGUUUUCUCUCUCAUCAAACACCCCUGUCUCUCCUAAAAUUUUCAUCUGCUUAGUAGUGCCUUUCUGAUAAAACCCAUCUCGGAUUCUCAUCUGUACCCACAAUUUCUCUCUUGAAAUCUAGCACUUGUCCGAUACAAAGCAUCUCCCCUUCUCAUCCACGCAGUGAUUCUCUUUCUAAUUCACUUAACCAGUCUAUCUCUCAUAAGGUCAAAUCCUCAUCAACACACAAAACCCAUCUCAUAGUUGUAAAAUAUCCCUUUAAAUCCGCGAUCUGACAGGUCUUCCAUUGAUUCAGAAAGCCCAGUCCAUGCAUCUUUUGCUCUAUAUCUCGCCCUACUUUAAAUCCCCAUUUAUGCACAAAACCCAUAUCCAAAUUCGUGCAGAAAACCCACUUGAAUCCAUGAACUAACUGGCUGUCCGUUGAUUCCAAGCGGGUCUGGUUCAUAAACCCCGCUAUGGUUCCGGCAAUUGUUGAUUCGCUUCUUCAGAGGUCAUUGGAGGAUUUGAUCAAAGGCCUUAGAAUCCAAAUGAUUGGCGAAACCCAGUACCUGAAUAAAGCCAUGGAAGAUAUUAGGAAGGAAAUCAAAUCAACUGAUCACCAGAUGAAAGCCAUUGCCUUGCAAAAGCUCACAUAUCUCAACAUGCUUCAUGGUUUCGACAUGAAUUGGGCAUCCUUCCAUGUCGUAGAGGUAAUGAGUAUGCCUAGAUUUUUCCAUAAAAAGAUUGGUUAUCUUGCUGCUUGUCAAAGCUUCUCUGAGCAAACUGAGGUUUUAUUACUAAUAACCAAUCAGUUGAAAAAGGAUUUAGGGGGCACUAAUGAAUAUGAAGUAGGCCUAGCUUUGAAUUGCUUAUCUGUUAUUGCUACAUGUGAUCUUGCUAGAGAUUUAACCCCUGAUAUUUUCACUUUACUUGGUAGUAGUAAGAUUUAUGUGAAAAAGAAGGCCAUUUCUGUGGUUUUGAGGAUUUUUAAGAAGUACCCAGAUGCUGUUAGGGUUGCAUUUAAGCGUUUAGUGGAGAAUUUAGAGCGCUCAGAUGUUCAAACCAGUUCGGCAGUUAUUGGGGUGUUUUGUGAAUUAACAAUGGAUGACCCAGUUUCAUAUCUUCCUUUAGCUCCAGAGUUUUAUCGAUUAUUGGUUGAUUCAAAGAAUAACUGGGUAUUGAUUAAGGUUUUGAAGAUUUUUGCUGUUUUGGCACCUCUAGAACCUCGAUUAGCUAAGAGGAUUGUAGAACAAGUAUCCGAUCUUAUGAGGAAAACAAUGGCUAAGUCACUUCUUUUGGAAUGUAUCAGAACAGUGGUUUCGGGCCUUUCAGAUUACAAGUCAGCAGUUCAACUCUCGGCAGAAAAAAUCAGGGACUUUCUUGUGGAGGAUGAUCCAAAUUUGAAGUAUUUGGGUUUACAGGUUCUUUCCACUCUAAUGCCCAAUCACUUAUGGGCAGUUCUUGAAAACAAGGAGCUCAUUGUUAAGUCUCUGGAUGAUGAGGAUCCAAGCAUUCGGUUGGUGGCCCUGAAUCUUGUGAUGGGCAUGGUAUCAGAGGAGAAUUUGGUAGAGUUUUCACAGGUUUUGGUCCAUUAUGCACUUAAGUCCGAACCAGAAUUCUCUAACAAAAUAUUGGGUUCUGUUCUUUCCACUUGUAGUAGGAACCUUUAUCAAUUGGUUUCAGAUUUUGACUGGUAUGUUGCACUUUUAGGUGAUAUAUCGAGAAACCCACAUUGUCGACAUGGCCAAGAAAUUGAAAGGCAGCUUAUAGACAUCGCUCUGAGGGUAGAAGAUGCUAGAGCAGAGCUUGUACGAGUUUCUCGUGAUCUAUUGAUCAACCCUGCACUUCUUGGGAACCAAUUUUUGCACAGGGUUCUCUCUGCUGCUGCUUGGAUUUGUGGGGAGUUUUCUGAGUUUUUGAAGGACCCUUUUGAGAUUAUGGAGGCUUUGAUUCAACCUCGCACUGUUCUUUUGCCACCAUUGUCUAGAGCUGUUUAUAUCCAAUCAGCACUUAAAGUUUUAGUAUUUUGCUUUCAUGGGUAUAUGAAUAAAAAAGAAAACAUGCUCUGUGAUCUACAUAGUGGUAGCCGUGGAAGCCAGAGGAUAGUGGGUGAAGAUUUGAGCUUACAAGUGGGUAAUGGUGGUUUAGAGGUAUCAGAAACUGAUGGGAAAUCAUGCUCGGCAGCUGAAGGUUCUGAAUCGGUAGGAGGCGAAAUUCUAGCAGAUUUUGAUGAAAUAGAGGCCCUUAGAGAUGACGGGCUUAUCUUCAAGAAGGAAUCUCUUCUUCAUCUGGUUAAUCUCAUCAAGAUGGCUAUUGGUCCAUUAUUGGAGAGUGAUGACGUGGAGCUGCUUGAGAGGGCACGUAAUUUACUUGGUCUGGUUGAUUUGCUUGAAGAUAGUCCUGGGUUUCUUGCGGUGAACGAAGGGGAAGAAAAUGCAAACUCAGUUCCUGAAUCUUCAGAAAUUAUCGAACUGAUGCAUGGUGUCUUCUUAGAGGAGCUCACUCCAGUUUCUGUGCAUGCCCAGGAAAGAGUUCAGGCACCUGAUGGUCUCACUCUCCCUCAAAACCUUUCUGAAUUGGCUGCUAUUAUAGGCGAGGACCCUCUUUCUCCAAGUGGGGUUUCAAUUGGGCCUCCACAAAGUGGUGAAUGGGACAAUAUUUCCUUCCUUAAUAAACAAAAGCAAGAACCUGAACCUUCAGGAGAGGGCAAGUCUUUGUUAGAGGAACAUCGAAAAAGACAUGGGUUAUUUUAUUUGUCUCCAAGUAAAGGUGAAACAGAAUCUAAUCUUGACUAUCCAUCUGCAAAUGUUGUUGAGGCUCCUAAUGAUACCCCCAAUGCUCCUAGUGAUCUGGUGAGGCUUACAGAGAAAACCUUUGUUUCCAAAAAGCCAACUCGUGCAAAGCCAAGGCCAGUGGUGGUAAAGAUAGAUGAUGGAGAUGAGGUGGUUACCCAAACCGAGAAGCAAAUGAAGGGAUCAAAAGAAGACUUGCUUGCUGGUGUGAUCAGAGAUGUUCUUCUAAGUGGUAAAGGGGACCCCUCGAGCAGUUCAUCCCAUAGGAAAGAAAAAAAUAUCAUGGAUAUGCAUACACCCGAAGAAAAUUCAGAGGCUAUUGAGAAAAAUAGGCAUGGGUCUCCUAGUUCUAAGAGAACCAAGCACAAAAGUCAUGGUAAAGGACGACAUAAAAGUUCAGGGAAGAAUGAGGACAAUGAAAAACACAAGAAUGGUCAUCAUCAAAAUACAAAACAUAGGAGCUGGCGAAGAGCAGAGAGUCCUAGAAAGGUGGAUCCACAAGCCCAAGUCAUUCCAGACUUUCUUUUGUAGCUUGUUUCAGCUUACUUGUUUCCUAUCAGGUAUCAGAGCAGGGUCACAGAUCUUCUCAGCGCAAUCAUAAUCAAUCAAGGUAACCCAUAAUCUCUUUUUUCCUUCACUUAUUUCUCCCUCGCUCUUAUCCCUGCUUCUCGUAUUUCUUCAAAACGACAACUAAUGUGUCUCGAUCAUCUCCUUUCCUGAUAUUUUCUCACCAUUUAAAUCCUAUCCUGAAAACCCUAAUCGAUCUGCCUAGACCCUAAUAUCUAAUCUUCUAAAAGACCCUAACCUUAAGUCCUCUCGUAAAGCAACCCUGAUAAAAAAUAGUAUAACUACUCUCUAAUUUGAUUCUUCACUUUGCCCUUAUUUCUUGCAGCGGUCUUAACCCUAAUCCACAUCUAUUUCUUAGAGAGUUGAUAUUUGUAAGUUGAUUUUAUUUCUGUCCUAAAAGAGAAGGAGAGACUAAAAUCAAGCAUAUCUCUAUUUUUCCUCUCAAAAUGAAUCUUCUUCCUCCAAAAAUCCUAAUAAAAAAUGAAACGUGAGCCUGUUACCACUUUUUUUUUGGUUAAAAGAGGAGAAAAUGUUUUGAUUGGUUGGAGCUUUUUGGGAUUGGAAGACCCAAGUUACACCAAUUUAGCCUCCCACAUUUGUUACGGGAGCAUUGAUUCUGCAAUAUGGAAGUGCGGCAUUCCAUAUUCCCCUUAAAAUGCCUCCUUUUUAGGAAACCAUGGAUUUCAUGUUGCGCCGUCUAUGAUUUUUGGGAGAGGGGGCUUUGGCAGCCCUCACUUCCCCAGUCAAACAUGCUCUAAAAGAAAGUGACCCCUGAUACCUAUGAAGAAUCAAAGAAGGACAGGAGAAGGACAAAGUAUGAAUGAAGAGAUGAAAGCAUUGUACAAAUGUGGGCAUAGAUGGUUGUGUUAAGACCAACAGAAAAGAAUGUGUAGGAAGUAAAUGGGUUUACAAAAUUAAAUUUAAACCAGAUGGAAGUGUUGACAGAUAUGAAGGUAAACUUGUUGCUAAAGAUUACGAUGAAAUCCUUAGCCCUGCUGUCUUUAGCUCUUGCAUUUGUUUGAGAACAAACACAGAUGGAUGUCAAGAAUGCAUUUUGACAUGGAGACCUUAGAGAAUAAGUCUACAUCGAUCAGCCUCCAAGAUUUGCUGAAGGAGACCCUAGCCUCAUGGUUUGCAAGUUGAACGGGGCAAUGGUCUAAAGCAGGAUUCAAGAGCCUGGUUCGGUAACUUUGCGAGUUGUGAAGAAGCAUGGUUUCAUCAAGAGCACAGCUGAUCACUCGUUGUUCAUUAAGACGGAGAUAAUUACAUUGCAAUACGUAUUUUUUAUGUAGAUGAAAUUGUAUUCACAGGAAGGUGCAAUGAAAGCAAUCUCAAAAUUAAAGUGGGUUCUUUCAGAAGCUUUCAAAUGAAGGACCUUGGAAGGUUGCAAUAUUUUUCUUAGGAUUGAGGUUGAAAGAAAGCCAGAUAGGUUGACAUUGGGCCAUCAUAAAUGCACGAUCAAUUUGUUAAAAAGGACGAAUAUGCUUGAUGCCAAGCCAAUAGCUGCACCUGCUGUGUUGAACGAAAGACUUUCGAGAUAAUGAAGAUUUUGGAAGCUUUAUUGCGAAUGCACAUGACCAUCACAACAUGGUGGGAGCUUUGCAGUAUCGAAUUUUUACAAAACUGAUAUAACUUAUGCAGUCAAUCAGAUCCCAAUUGGGCAGGAGAUUGCCCUAUAAGAAGAUCAGUUACUGGGAAUCGUGUAUUUGUUGGGAACAACUUGGUCUCUUGGUACGGUAGAAAGCAACAUACUGUGGCUAGAUCAAGUUCGGAAGCAGAAUGUAGAGCUAUGGCACUUGUAACUGCUGAAAUGAAUUGGAUUAGGAGAAUUGCAACUGCCCUUAGUUAAACAUUGUGCAGCAACAUUCUCUGCUAUGACAAUCAAAGUGCACUGGCCAUAGCGAUGAGUCCAGUAUUGUAUGGUACAACAAACAUGUUUAGGUUGAUCAUCAUUUUAUUAGAGAAAAGAUUGAGAUAAGGAGAUUGAAGGAAGAUUAAUCAGAACUAAGGAUCAAGUUGCCGACAUAUAUACUGAAGUGCUCACUAAAGAACGGCAAAGAGGCUUGAAGAGCAAGCUGUCCAUGAUCCGGACUGAUGUACAUCUUGAGGGUGAAUAUUACGAAUGCCAUUUACAUCCCUUGAGCAGGCUACUAUAAUUUUUUAUAUUUUUAGUGGUUGAUUUUUACAAUUCUGUAACUUCUGUAAAUAUAUCUAGGGCAUUACUAGAAGUUCAUUUAAAAAACCAAAGUAUGUUAACUCUUAUAUAAUGAAAUAUCAUGAAUCUGUGUUCCUAUUG
This is an RNA transcript of Amborella trichopoda, 5718 nucleotides long. It is a transcript of the gene named delta-adaptin, with no coding region annotated. The record is from RefSeq and is a predicted model, not a curated record. Lineage: Eukaryota; Viridiplantae; Streptophyta; Magnoliopsida; Amborellales; Amborellaceae.